AUCCUUUUGUAGUUCAUAAGCGUGAUGAUUGGGUCUUCACGCGCAUGCGUGAGAUGUGCCUCCCUCAAACCUUGUUACGACAUCGGCACAUUACCCGUCUGACG
This 104-nucleotide small nucleolar RNA is filed under the name Microcebus murinus (gray mouse lemur). RNAcentral describes it as "Small nucleolar RNA U13 (ENSMICG00000047412.1)". It matches the Rfam family "Small nucleolar RNA U13". The record is from Rfam by way of RNAcentral. Lineage: Eukaryota; Metazoa; Chordata; Mammalia; Primates; Cheirogaleidae.